UUACGGCCACAUCAGGUUGAAAACACAGGUUUCCGUACGAUCACCGAAGUUAAGCAACGUCGAGCCUAGACACUACUUGGAUAUAUGUCCGCGGAGGUAUAGCAGGGGCUGUAA
Non-coding RNA from Acanthosepion pharaonis, 114 nucleotides. Lineage: Eukaryota; Metazoa; Mollusca; Cephalopoda; Sepiida; Sepiidae. The record is from the annotation of a GenBank genome assembly.